GAAACAGCUCUGAUACUUUCCCCUGAAAAAAAGACUGUAUCUUAAGUCAUCUAUCUUAUGUCAUGCUGGCUAAGUACUAAUGCUACUGGCUUGAAAGUGGCCUGCUCUGUAGCAAAGAGGCUGCCUUUUUAAUUACUUAAAAGCCAUAUAUCACUUGACUCCAGGAUCCAACACAAACACUGUUCAAUCCCAGGCUGAACAGCUCAAAACUCAUUCAUCCUUUAUAACUGUUGAGAUCAGGGCUUUUCAGACUGGGCAGGGACCCAAAAGUAUGGUUGGGCAUCGUUUGGAUUGUAACAAUUCAGAUUCCAAUUCUGACUCUUCCUUUCGAUUCCGGUUCUUAUCGAUUACAAUUCUUUGAGGGUCGCAGAUAAGAG
Molecule: long non-coding RNA, 377 nt
Organism: Etheostoma spectabile (orangethroat darter)
Lineage: Eukaryota; Metazoa; Chordata; Actinopteri; Perciformes; Percidae
Exons: 3
Source: RefSeq, a predicted model, not a curated record